This 468-nucleotide ribosomal RNA is filed under the name uncultured bacterium. Its description in RNAcentral is "partial 16S ribosomal RNA". It matches the Rfam family "Bacterial small subunit ribosomal RNA", at positions 28 to 507 of the family's 1533-position model. The record is from RNAcentral.
GACGAACGCUGGCGGCGUGCUUAACACAUGCAAGUCGAACGGAAAGGCCCUGCUUUUGUGGGGUGCUCGAGUGGCGAACGGGUGAGUAACACGUGAGUAACCUGCCCUUGACUUUGGGAUAACUUCAGGAAACUGGGGCUAAUACCGGAUAGGAGCUCCUGCUGCAUGGUGGGGGUUGGAAAGUUUCGGCGGUUGGGGAUGGACUCGCGGCGUAUCAGCUUGUUGGUGGGGUAGUGGCUUACCAAGGCUUUGACGGGUAGCCGGCCUGGGAGGAUGACCGGCCACAUUGGGACUGAAAUGCGGCCCAGACUCCUACGGGAGGCAGCAGUGGGGAAUAUUGCACAAUGGGCGGAAGCCUAAUGCAGCAACGCCGCGUGCGGGAUGACGGCCUUCGGGUUGUAAACCGCUUUCGCCUGUGACGAAGCGUGAGUGACGGUAAUGGGUAAAGAAGCACCGGCUAACUACGUG